Molecule: transfer RNA, 72 nt
Filed under: Chlamydiia bacterium
Lineage: Bacteria; Pseudomonadati; Chlamydiota; Chlamydiia
Description: tRNA-Gln
Rfam family: tRNA
About the family: Transfer RNA (tRNA) molecules are approximately 80 nucleotides in length. Their secondary structure includes four short double-helical elements and three loops (D, anti-codon, and T loops).
Source: RNAcentral
AGACGUGUAGCCAAGUGGUAAGGCAACGGUUUUUGGUACCGUGUACCGUAGGUUCGAAUCCUACCACGUCUA